AGCAGCCGCGGUAAUUCCAGCUCCAAUAGCGUAUAUUAAAGUUGUUGCAGUUAAAAAGCUCGUAGUUGAAUUUCGGGAUCAAUAUAUUGGUCAUGCUUAGGUAUGUACCGGUAUUAUUGAUUUCUCCCUUCUGAAGAACCAUGAUGUCAUUAAUUUGAUGUCGUGGGGAAUCAGGACUGUUACUUUGAAAAAUUAGAGUGUUUAAAGCAGGCUUUCGCUUGAAUACAUUAGCAUGGAAUAAUGAAAUAGGACGUUUGAUUCUAUUUUGUUGGUUUCUAGGAUCGACGUAAUGAUUAAUAGGGAUAGUUGGGGGCAUUAGUAUUCAAUUGUCAGAGGUGAAAUUCUUGGAUUUAUUGAAGACUAACUACUGCGAAAGCAUUUGCCAAGGAUGUUUUCAUUAAUCAAGAACGAAAGUUAGGGGAUCGAAGACGAUCAGAUACCGUCGUAGUC
This 450-nucleotide ribosomal RNA is filed under the name uncultured Glomus. RNAcentral describes it as "SSU rRNA". It matches the Rfam family "Eukaryotic small subunit ribosomal RNA", at positions 569 to 1025 of the family's 1831-position model. The record is from RNAcentral. Lineage: Eukaryota; Fungi; Glomeromycota; Glomeromycetes; Glomerales; Glomeraceae.